GACGAGUGGGAAAUGAAACACAGAUGGGUCAGAUGGGUAAGGAGAGGGGGAUUACAGGUCAGGCCAAAGAGUUGGAAUAAAUUAAGUGCUUAUGAGGUACAGAAUGGCACAUUGUUUAAGUGAAUGGACAGGGAAAAAACAUUCCAGCAUUGUUCAUCCGCCGAGGGAGCCCAACGCUCCUCUUCCCAGACGAGCCCAGGCCACAGAGCGCCUCCUCCUCGCCAAGAUGUUUGUGACCCACAGACUGAAAACGCGGCCAGGCGGUGCCCGAAACAUUCUCCCAGCCUCCAAAGAGGCCAGUUUGGCUUUAUUACACGGGAGAUGUAAUUUAUUGGGAGAAAUGUUUGGGUUCGUGUGUCGGAUGGUGGAGAGUCAGAUUUGGAGUUCCCUGGGGAUCUCCGAGGAGAAGAAGCAGAUGUUCACAAAGCAACUGACCAGGCCAGGUGUGUCCUUCAAGGCUACCUGCAUUCAACAGAGGUGACCACAGCCCAGACUCAUCCUUCCUGGGAGAGUUUCAAGAUGCUCCACAUAGUGGUGCCUAGCGCUCUGUGCACUCAGAGGCUAGAAGAAAAGAUACAGAGGUCCUCUUUCAAGGAGAGGCCCUGAUGUUUCUAUUCUUACAAGGAUUCUUUGGUAAUAAAUACAGUGAAAACACCGUCACCGUGGAGAUAAUACUUAAUGCUCAAGAGGUACGUAGCAGAGAUUGCAUUCCAAUCAAGGACUUCCGUAACCCUGUCUACCAAGCCAGUAUCACCUGUAGGCCAGUUCACCUCCAUCCAGUCACUUUACAGCACUUGAGUGUUUGCUGUCCGCUCAAUUAAAAUCCUACUCUGGUGGGAAAAACCAGAUUUCCAAAUGGGGACUUUAUUGAUUCAAUAAAAUUUAAGAAAUUCUGCUUAUGGAAAAACUCAUUAACCCAAACUAAUAAAUACGAGUUUACCCUG
RNAcentral lists this long non-coding RNA (944 nucleotides) under Sus scrofa (pig). Its description in RNAcentral is "lncRNA (ENSSSCG00015037298.1)". The record is from RNAcentral. Lineage: Eukaryota; Metazoa; Chordata; Mammalia; Artiodactyla; Suidae.